ACGGGUGAGUAACACGUGGGUGAUCUGCCCUGCACUUCGGGAUAAGCCUGGGAAACUGGGUCUAAUACCGGAUAUGACCUCCUAUCGCAUGGUGGGUGGUGGAAAGAUUUAUCGGUGCAGGAUGGGCCCGCGGCCUAUCAGCUUGUUGGUGGGGUAAUGGCCUACCAAGGCGACGACGGGUAGCCGACCUGAGAGGGUGACCGGCCACACUGGGACUGAGACACGGCCCAGACUCCUACGGGAGGCGGCAGUGGGGAAUAUUGCACAAUGGGCGAAAGCCUGAUGCAGCGACGCCGCGUGAGGGAUGACGGCCUUCGGGUUGUAAACCUCUUUCAGCAGGGACGAAGCGCAAGUGACGGUACCUGCAGAAGAAGCACCGGCUAACUACGUGCCAGCAGCCGCGGUAAUACGUAGGGUGCAAGCGUUGUCCGGAAUUACUGGGCGUAAAGAGUUCGUAGGCGGUUUGUCGCGUCGUUUGUGAAAACCAGCAGCUCAACUGCUGGCUUGCAGGCGAUACGGGCAGACUUGAGUACUGCAGGGGAGACUGGAAUUCCUGGUGUAGCGGUGAAAUGCGCAGA
This 578-nucleotide ribosomal RNA is filed under the name uncultured Rhodococcus sp. RNAcentral describes it as "bacterial SSU rRNA". It matches the Rfam family "Bacterial small subunit ribosomal RNA", at positions 102 to 694 of the family's 1533-position model. The record is from RNAcentral. Lineage: Bacteria; Bacillati; Actinomycetota; Actinomycetes; Mycobacteriales; Nocardiaceae.